GAUGAAGAACGCAGCGAAAUGCGAUAAGUAAUGUGAAUUCAGAAUUCAGUGAAUCAUCGAAUCUUUGAACGCACAUUGCGCCCGCUAGUAUUCUGGCGGGCAUGCCUGUCCGAGCGUCAUUUCAACCCUCAAGCCCCCGGGCUUGGUGUUGGGGAUCGGCGAGCCUCCGCGCCCGCCGUCCCCUAAAUCUAGUGGCGGUCUCGCUGUAGCUUCCUCUGCGUAGUAGCACACCUCGCACUGGGAAACAGCGCGGCCACGCCGUUAAACCCCCAACUUCUGAACGUUUGACCUCGGAUCAGGUAGGAAUACCCGCUGAACUUAAGCAUAUCAAUAAGCGGAGGA
RNAcentral lists this unclassified non-coding RNA (342 nucleotides) under soil metagenome. Its description in RNAcentral is "partial contains 5.8S ribosomal RNA, internal transcribed spacer 2, and large subunit ribosomal RNA". The stretch from base 1 to 119 matches the Rfam family "5.8S ribosomal RNA", at positions 35 to 154 of the family's 154-position model. The record is from RNAcentral.